GACGAACGCUGGCGGCGUGCUUAACACAUGCGAGUCGAACGGAAAGGCCCUGCUUUUGUGGGGUUCUCGAGUGGCGAGCGGGUGAGUAACACGUGAGUAACCUGCCCUUGUCUUUGGGAUAACUUCAGGAAACUGGGGCUAAUACCCGAUAGGAGCUCCUGCUGCAUGGGGGGGGUUGGAAAGUUUCGGCGUUGCGGGAUGGACUCGCGGCUUAUGAGCUUGUUGGUGGGGUAGUGGCUUACGAAGGGUUUGACGGGUAGCCGGCCUGAGAGGGUGACCGGGGACAUUGGGACUGAGGUAGGCACCAGACGGCAAUGGUAGGCAGCGGUGGGGAGUAUUGCACAAUAGGCGGAAGCCUGAGGCAGCGAUGCUGCGAGCGGGAUGACGUCUUUCGGGUUGUAAACCGAUUUGUCAGGUGACGAAGCGGGAGUGACGGUAAUGGGUAAAGAAGCACCGGCUAACUACGUG
This 468-nucleotide ribosomal RNA is filed under the name uncultured bacterium. RNAcentral describes it as "partial 16S ribosomal RNA". It matches the Rfam family "Bacterial small subunit ribosomal RNA", at positions 28 to 507 of the family's 1533-position model. The record is from RNAcentral.